Molecule: ribosomal RNA, 430 nt
Filed under: uncultured Massilia sp.
Lineage: Bacteria; Pseudomonadati; Pseudomonadota; Betaproteobacteria; Burkholderiales; Oxalobacteraceae
Description: bacterial SSU rRNA
Rfam family: Bacterial small subunit ribosomal RNA
Source: RNAcentral
GUGGGGAAUUUUGGACAAUGGGGGCAACCCUGAUCCAGCAAUGCCGCGUGAGUGAAGAAGGCCUUCGGGUUGUAAAGCUCUUUUGUCAGGGAAGAAACGGCCGAGGCGAAUACCCUUGGCUAAUGACGGUACCUGAAGAAUAAGCACCGGCUAACUACGUGCCAGCAGCCGCGGUAAUACGUAGGGUGCAAGCGUUAAUCGGAAUUACUGGGCGUAAAGCGUGCGCAGGCGGUUUUGUAAGUCUGACGUGAAAUCCCCGGGCUCAACCUGGGAAUUGCGUUGGAGACUGCAAGGCUGGAGUCUGGCAGAGGGGGGUAGAAUUCCACGUGUAGCAGUGAAAUGCGUAGAGAUGUGGAGGAACACCGAUGGCGAAGGCAGCCCCCUGGGUCAAGACUGACGCUCAUGCACGAAAGCGUGGGGAGCAAACAGG